GCGGCGGACGGGUGAGUAACACGUGGGCAACCUGCCUGUAAGACUGGGAUAACCCCGGGAAACCGGGGCUAAUACCGGAUAAUACUUUACUUCGCCUGAAGUGAAGUUGAAAGAGGGCUUAGGCUCUCACUCACAGAUGGGCCCGCGGCGCAUUAGCUAGUUGGUGAGGUAAGAGCUUACCAAGGCGACGAUGCGUAGCCGACCUGAGAGGGUGAUCGGCCACACUGGGACUGAGACACGGCCCAGACUCCUACGGGAGGCAGCAGUAGGGAAUCAUCCGCAAUGGACGAAAGUCUGACGGUGCAACGCCGCGUGAGUGAUGAAGGUUUUCGGAUCGUAAAGCUCUGUUGUGAGGGAAGAACAAGUGCCGUUCGAAGAGGGCGGCAGUCUGACGGUACCUCACCAGAAAGCCCCGGCUAACUACGUGCCAGCAGCCGCGGUAAUACGUAGGGGGCAAGCGUUGUCCGGAAUUAUUGGGCGUAAAGCGCGCGCAAGCGGUCUUUUAAGUCUGAUGUGAAAUCUUGCG
Molecule: ribosomal RNA, 526 nt
Filed under: uncultured bacterium
Lineage: Bacteria
Description: bacterial SSU rRNA
Rfam family: Bacterial small subunit ribosomal RNA
Source: RNAcentral